Haemonchus placei is the source of this 73-nucleotide non-coding RNA. NCBI's taxonomy places the organism in Eukaryota, Metazoa, Nematoda, Chromadorea, Rhabditida, Trichostrongylidae. The record is from Rfam.
GGCCGCGUGGCGCAAUGGAUAACGCGUCUGCCUACGGAGCAGAAGAUUGCAGGUUCGANUUUUGCAAAGGCUU